ACGCUCGACACCUACGGGGGGCAGCAGUAGGGAAUCUUCCACAAUGGGCGCAAGCCUGAUGGAGCAACACCGCGUGAGUGAAGAAGGGUUUCGGCUCGUAAAGCUCUGUUGUUGGAGAAGAACGUGCGUGAGAGUAACUGUUCACGCAGUGACGGUAUCCAACCAGAAAGUCACGGCUAACUACGUGCCAGCACGCCGACGGUAAUCUGAGGCGGGCGUGGCAAGGC
RNAcentral lists this ribosomal RNA (227 nucleotides) under uncultured bacterium. RNAcentral's name for it is "partial 16S ribosomal RNA". It matches the Rfam family "Bacterial small subunit ribosomal RNA", at positions 328 to 538 of the family's 1533-position model. The record is from RNAcentral.